Molecule: RNA transcript, 2257 nt
Organism: Diospyros lotus (date-plum)
Lineage: Eukaryota; Viridiplantae; Streptophyta; Magnoliopsida; Ericales; Ebenaceae
Exons: 9
Source: RefSeq, a predicted model, not a curated record
CUCUCUCUCUCUCUCUCUCUCUCUGUCUUUCUCUCUCUCCGCUAAAAUCGAAGGUUCCUUUUGCUUUGCUUUUCCCCUUCGAAUCGUGGAAAUGCCUAGGUUCGAUUUUCCAAAUUCAUUACAACUGAACUGCUGCUGAGAUUAGGGUUUGGUACUGUUACUACCCUGUUGUUGUUUGCAACUGAUUGUGGUUUUACAGUGCUGAGUUUGGGGUUUUCGUGAUUUAUAUUCAAUGGAGGAGGCUUGUGAUGUCGAGCAAACACACAAACGAGCUCGAGAACAAGAUGAUUCUCCUCAAGACUGUCAUCAACAGAUGUGUAAUCAGGAGGAUGGGGAGGAAUCAUCCUUGGUGGUGCCGCAGCAGCAGUCAAGGCGUCCAAACCUUUCCUCUCUUCAAAUACCAGCAAGGUCCAUGGAAAACACAUUAUCCAAUUUCAGUCCUAGUUCCAAUAGAGCAGGACUUCCUCCUAGACCAAAUUCAGCCAAGUUUAAGUCAUCUGUAAGAAAUUUGCUUCCCCAGAGAAGUUUCAGGGGCAAAGGUUUAUCCCAGGAUGGUGAGAAGACAGUACUCAUCCUUCCGGAUACACCUCUUUCUGAGAGGCCCUCAACUUCAAGGUCAUUCUCUCUCAACAAAGUCUUUGUCUCUUCGUCAACAAAAUCAGCUCAUUCUCUACCAGUGACACCAGUUGCAAAUUCAGGUCUCCAGACUACAACGGUCGUGAAUCUGGACAAGCAUUCUGAAAUUUCUAACCCUGAAAUUGAGCAUCACAUGAAGCGUUCAUUUUCGGUUCCAGUGAAUAUAAAAACUAGAAGUUUCCGGCGGAUGAAUUCCACAGGAGGGUUGAUCCGCAUAAUAUCAGCAAAGCCUCAUCCCGAAACAGUCGAUGAUGGUGCCCCUGCAAAUAAAUCCACAGAAAUAAACAGUGCUAAUGAAGGUGCUGAGGAGGAUAUUCCUGAAGAAGAAGCUGUUUGCAGAAUUUGUUUGGUUGAGCUUGGUGAAGGUGGUGAAACCCUGAAGAUGGAGUGCAGCUGCAAAGGAGAGCUUGCACUUGCUCACAAGGAAUGUGCUGUAAAGUGGUUUAGCAUUAAAGGAAACAAGACCUGUGAUGUCUGCAAGCAGGAUGUUCGAAACCUUCCAGUAACAUUGUUGAAAAUACAAAAUCCUCGGACUGUUAUAAGACACCCGCGAGCUGUUCAGGACCAGAGGGAAAUCAUGCAGUACCGAAUCUGGCAAGAUGUACCCAUCCUUGUUAUGGUCAGCAUGCUUGCAUAUUUUUGCUUUCUGGAGCAACUUCUGGUGUCUGAUCUUGGACCUCGUGCGCUUGCAGUUUCUUUACCAUUUGCUUGUGUUUUAGGUCUUCUUUCCUCCAUGAUUGCUUCUACAAUGGUAAGCAAGAGUUACAUAUGGGCUUAUUCUUCAUUCCAGUUUGCAAUCGUGAUCCUGUUUGCUCAUAUCUUUUACACAAUGCUCAAUGUAAGUCCAAUUCUGUCGGUGCUUCUUUCCUCAUUCAGUGGCUUUGGAAUUGCAAUCAGCACAAAUACACUUGUUCUGGAGUACAUGAGAUGGAGAGCAAGCCGAAACCUGGGCUUCCCACAUCGGCACGGUAAUGAUGUUGCACAGUGGCAGCUGCAACACAACAAUCAACUGCACCAGAAUCAGCGGCAACAUCAACGUCAGCAGCAGCAAUCAGUAGAAAAUAUUACUACGGGAUCUACGGAUGGUGCUGGCUAUCAAGAGAUAAGAAUCCAGACCACAUAGAACAGGAAGAUGCAAAAUUUUGGCCACUCUACUGGUAAUUUCGACUUUCAGAAUGGCGCAGUGAACAUUUAAGGUUUUCAUAGAUCAUGGUAUUAAUUUUGGGGGCGAGUUUUGGUGUCGAAAAUGAUUGAUCACAGAGCAAAGAGAAAGGGGCAAACCCCAAAUUUUACUCUUAAUAUACAUGAUAGUGCAACAUAGAUUAGGUAUAGAAUGCCUAAAGAGCGUGUCAAGUAGCUGAAGAAAUUCUGCAUGUAAUCCACUCCUAUUGUGUUCUGUUUGUUGUAUGUGCUCUGUUAGUCUUUAGUUCCAAAAUGUUGCCUAAGCAUUCAUUCUUACCCUUCUGUGUUCAUGGAAAUUGUAUGCAACGUUAUUACAGACCCAAUUUCUGUUGCUUCACUUGUAAUAUCAAUUUCUUCAGUCACAGUUUACAUGUAUAUAUACAUUGUAGUCAUCAGUCACAUUUUACAUAUAUAUAUUCAUGGCAUGAUUAAGCAGUCA